This 211-nucleotide ribosomal RNA is filed under the name uncultured bacterium. Its description in RNAcentral is "partial 16S ribosomal RNA". It matches the Rfam family "Bacterial small subunit ribosomal RNA", at positions 524 to 733 of the family's 1533-position model. The record is from RNAcentral.
UACGUAGGGUGCGAGCGUUGUCCGGAAUUAUUGGGCGUAAAGAGCUCGUAGGUGGCGGGUCACGUCGGGUGUGAAAGCCCGGGGCUUAACUCCGGGUCUGCAUUCGAUACGGGUCUGCUGGGGUCCGGCAGGGGAGACUGGAAUUCCUGGUGUAGCGGUGAAAUGCGCAGAUAUCAGGAGGAACACCGAGUGGCGAAGGCGGGCCAACUGG